RNAcentral lists this ribosomal RNA (469 nucleotides) under uncultured organism. RNAcentral's name for it is "bacterial SSU rRNA". It matches the Rfam family "Bacterial small subunit ribosomal RNA", at positions 28 to 507 of the family's 1533-position model. The record is from RNAcentral.
GAUGAACGCUGGCGGCGUGCUUAACACAUGCAAGUCGAACGAAGCCGAGAGAGCUUGCUCUUAAAGCUUAGUGGCGGACGGGUGAGUAACGUGUGGGCAACCUACCUUAUACUGGGGAAUAAUCACUGGAAACGGUGACUAAUACCGCAUAAUGUCAUUGAGAGACAUCUCUAAAUGAAGAAAGGAGCAAUCCGGUAAAAGAUGGGCCCGCAUCUGAUUAGUUAGUUGGUGAGAUAACAGCCCACCAAGACAUCGAUCAGUAGCCGACCUGAGAGGGUGAUCGGCCACAUUGGGACUGAGACACGGCCCAAACUCCUACGGGAGGCAGCAGUGGGGAAUAUUGCACAAUGGAGGAAACUCUGAUGCAGCAACGCCGCGUGAAGGAAGAAGGUUUUCGGAUCGUAAACUUCUAUCAAAAGGGACGAAACAAAUGACGGUACCUUAAUAAGAAGCCCCGGCUAACUACGUG